GGGGAGGUGGGCCAACCUGGCUAUGCUUUCAGCUUUGGGAGCUGAAGAUCCGAGUUCAAAUCUCGGCCUCCCCA
Molecule: transfer RNA, 74 nt
Filed under: Candidatus Micrarchaeota archaeon CG1_02_51_15
Lineage: Archaea; Nanobdellati; Microcaldota
Also listed under: 1 other name
Description: tRNA-Pro
Rfam family: tRNA
About the family: Transfer RNA (tRNA) molecules are approximately 80 nucleotides in length.
Source: RNAcentral